This is a non-coding RNA of Macaca mulatta (Rhesus monkey), 6192 nucleotides long. Lineage: Eukaryota; Metazoa; Chordata; Mammalia; Primates; Cercopithecidae. The record is from RefSeq and is a predicted model, not a curated record.
AACUGAUGGUGCCACUGCACUCCAGCCUGGGCGAGAGAGUGAGACCCUGUCUCAGAAAAAGAGAGAGAAGAGAGACAGAGAAAAGAAAGAGACAAAGCAAAGCAAAGAAGGAAGAAAAAACAGCGGCUUUCUUUCCCUGUGAUGGUUUCCUCUUUGAACUGGAGUCUAGGGAGGAGAGGUGAUCAGUUACACGUGAUGGAAUAGCUGGGCUAUGGAAAGGAGAUGAGGCAACUCAGUUUAGAAGCAGCAGGAAGAGAUCCUCGCUCCUAAGGAAGAAGGACAAAGAAAGGGUGCUGCUCCCUCAACCCAGAAGCUUUGUCUGGAAAUGCCACAUCUCUCUCAGUGAAGAGUAGCAACUUUGUGGAGUUUGCAGGCUGUGCCAUUGACUCUUUGGCAUGAUGGUGUAUUGAAGACAAGGUGGGAGAGCAAGACAGGGAAUGAGUGGAGACAGGCAAGGAGGAAAGGUGGCAGGAAAAGACUCAGGAGGAAGAGGAUGACCAUCGAUCGCUGUGAGCUCUCCCAGAGCCUGCCUGCCUUUCAAACUUUGUUCAAUCACUUAUUACCUGGGUGGCAUUGACAAGUUCCUCCUCUCUCCCUCCUAAGAUGUUAAGAGUACCUACCACAGUGGGGUUAUUUUGAGGAUUCAGUGACUUCCCCCACAGGAAAACACUUCACGUUGUGUGGGAACAUAGUCCACUCUCAAUCCAUCUUGGUUACCAUCAUUAUUGUUUAUUAUUGAUCUUUACAUCCUCAGUGUUGGCAGAAUUUCUUGUGCUUAACAAAUAUUUUUUCAGAUCAGAGAAGUGGAAAAAAUUGUCCUCUGCUUAUUCAAGCCAUGUUUUUCUGUGAUAUUCUGAUCCUCGUUGCACAUACAGAAAUACAUGUCUAAAACAGCACCUCGAUUCUGGUCUACAGCAGGACGAAGUUCACUGUGAUCUCAGAUAAGCUUGGCUAAAAUAGGACGUGAGUGGAGAUAGUCACACUUCAGCGAAGAAAGAGAAUCCCCUGUGUAAUGUCACCAGGAGAUUCAACCUCAAUAUUCUGCAUGGAAGGGGUAGUCCCCCAAAUGAGAGGAUCUGCAGAAACAAAAAAAGAGAGAAACUCUGUUCCAUCACAGCAAAAACUCUCGUUGAGAAGGCAUUCUUCUCUGAUGGACUCUAUCAUAUCUGCGCUCUCUCAGCCUCCUCCCUGCAAGAACACAAGAAGGGUGCUCACACCUUGAUCUUCCCUCAAACUGAUACGAGGGCUUUGCUAGGAAGGAGGACAGACAGUGACCAGGGCACGGGAAACAACUCGGAAUGACAACUCAUGGUUAGCCUGGUGUCAGGUGAGGCAACUGACAAGUCUUGUCCCAAUCCACUGUCACAACAUGCUGAGGUAGGAAACAACAGCAGAAUUGACAGCUUGGGGAUUGUUAUGAGUAGUAAAUGAGAUAAUAGCACUGGCAAAGGGCUCAGGACCCUGGCACAUUCUCAGCGAAGGUUCAAUGGAUGUUAGCUGCUACUCAUAUUAUCAUCCUACUUUAUAGGUAAAGAAACCAACUAAGAAAAGCUAGGAAAUUUACCCAACGUCACACAGCUAAGAAACCAGGGUUAGUGUUGGAUCUGAGGCCAGGUGCACUUACUCCUGAGCCACCAACCCAUUGCCUCCACUGGAUAUGUUCAUUGGAAGGUCAGCCGUUCAGUUUGGGGGAGAGUCCCAUUUUAUGUUCACCCUGCCUUUUUACACUAAGCAGCUGCUACUUUGUUAAACACUGAUAAAAAUAAGCCAUUAUAAGAUGAGGAAAGGCUUCUGUGAUACUAAAGGUGGGCAGGAUAGAUAUGGAAUAUCAUGACAAGCAAGCUGUGCUUGAGAUACUGAAACCAUUUUUAAAAGCUGAAAAAUCAUUUUGGCUAUAGAAACAUUGGAAGAAAUUCAAAUUGGCAUUGAAUUACAGACCUCGAAGUAAUAAAUGCCAGACAACUCUCUUUGAUAUAUUUAAUUAGAUACAUUAAUCAGAAAGUAUUGAUUGUAAAGAGAUGGUUUAGGAUUCCCACCUAGCCAGAGUGAAAACUUUCUUUCAACCAUUUAUCUGACAUUUAAAUUAGAGUUACCACCACCUCCUUUAAGAGGCAUUUGGAGAUUAUUUAAUCCAGCCUCCCCGGCCUUCUUGCUUGAAUGCUCUAAACACAAUCCCACCUCAGGGCCUUGGCACCUGCUGUUAUCAAUGCCAAGAAUGCUCUUCCCCCAAAUAUGCAUAUGGCAUAUCCCUCACAGCAAAGCCUCCCUUGAACCACCCUGUAUAAAGGAUCUGUCCCACUACCACCCACCACUUCCUAUCCACUUUGCCCUACUUUAUUUUUCUGUCUAGCAUUUGUUACUGUCUGUCACAUGUAUUUUGAUUUGAUUUAUUUCUGUUCUGUCUUCUUCCCUCCCUCCAUAAGCACGUGGAGGCAGCAGCUUUGCAUAGUAUGAUAACCCAAGCACCUAGAAGAUGCCUGGCACAUAGAGGACCACUAGAUAUUUAUUGAAUGUAGGAAUAAAUGAAUGCUCACCUUCUGCCUAUUGACAACACACCUUCUGUUACAAUUCUAGCUCUACAUCCAGAAGUUCAGACAAUGAGCAGCAAUUAGAGAUGUGUCCCUCGCAGUGAUUCCCAGGUACCCCAAUUUUAGUUUCAGAACUGCCCCAAAAUUGUAUUUGAAGACACAAGCAGUCCCAGCAGCCUUCUAAUUCUUCCAACUAACCCUCUACCAGUUUAGAAAAACUCCUGGCAAUGCUCCUAGUUAACUCCAUGCCACUUACUGCAACACGUUACAGGCCCUCCAGUUUCUGUUGAAGCUGAGGAUGGUUGCCAUCUCCUCAUCACUCAAUUUAAAGUCAAAGACCUGGAAAGAUAGGAGUUCCAGGACAUCAUCAGUAAGGCCGUUACUGCUGUGACUGGAGACUGCCGCUCAUUCUAGCAGGGAGUUCUAGCAGCACAAACUGGUCACAGGUGUUUUUCCCAUUAUAUCCACAGGGUAUAAAUUUUUCUCUAAAUUAAGUCCUACACACAGACCGCAGUAUUUGUAUUGCUCAGUGUUCUAGGGGAGGGAGACCAGGUUCACAGGCACUAAGCCCCAGGUGUGCACAGGCCCUGUGCUCCAUGAUGCGCCCUUCUAGAAGACAGUUCUCCAAGGACAGUUCACACCUCCUCUGCUGCCGGUAGAUAAGCAGGGAGGCCAGGACAGUCUGCUUAUGUGGUGGCCCAGGGCUUAGCUGCUCAGGGGCAACUGAGGGUCUUCUCAGUGGUGUGAGGCACAGCUGUGCUCACACUAGACAGGGCUUCAGCAGGCACUGUCCCCAGCAUGUCCUCAGCCCAUGGAUCAUUCAUCUCAGGUAUACUGAGCCUAGCACCCUAGACUGGAAAAUGAUAGGGUAGUGGGAACGGAGGGGGCCAAAGACAGUGCAGGAAUGAGCUAAGAAUCCUGGCGAGAGGGUCUGCCUCUGCCCCACCCCACGGAGAAGUACCAGGGCCAACCAGCCGGGAUCUUACCUGAAUGUUCUCAACAAUGCGUGCCGGUGUCACAGACUUGGGAAUCACAAUCACAUUCCUCUGGAUAUGGAAACGGAUCAGAACCUGUGCGGAAAGGGGACAUCAUGUUUUCACUCAGCUACAAGGACCCCUCCUUUUAUGGAAAGGAAGAAUAAAACAUCCCUGCAGCUCACUGUGGCUUCAGGUACAAUCGCUGAUACUGACUGAGCCCUUUGCAGCUAUUAGACUUGUGCCAGCCCCUCGCUUCAUUCUCUCCCUUCAUCUUAGGGACAACUCUGUGAUCUUCAUUUUUUAGGAAUAAAGAAAGCAGUUUGGAUCAUAAGGCUGAUCAGAGGUGGAGUUGGCAUCUGCACCCAUAUCCCUAGACUUCAAAGCCAUGCUUUACGACUUGGCUGUAGGGCUUAACAGGAAGCUGUGAGGCAGAGGCUAUCUUUGUUUCAGUGACAGCUCUUAUGUUUCCUGGAGGUUCCAACAGACUUCGAAGGAAACACUUUAGAGGGCUUCAGCUCCUGUGUUCUUCCCCUUUAAGGAGUUAGUUGAGGACAACACAAGAAAUGAAACAUGAGACUGGACAAAAGAGUUGUUGGAUAACAAGAAAAAUAAAAAUAUGGCACCUGGGCUGUGGUUUUCUUGUGCUUUGCAGCAAUCUCCUUAAUCUUGGGCUCCUCCAGCAGGGAAGGGUCCUCUGGCUUGGCCCUAGAGGCAGAAAGAUGCUGAUGUGAACAAUCACCAUGGCUACCAUGUACAGACGGACACCACUCCAAUGAGGGUCUCAAGACUGAUCAUCAGAGCCUCUCCAUCUGGGAGACAGGCAGGAGGACCUGGAAGCUUGGGUCCUUCCCCUGGGCUCUGAAGCCUCAGUAUGUUGCAAAGCCUGGUUCAUGCUUGGGUGGCUGAACUGGAAAUAUUCCCAGAGGGUCAAACACGUCGCCCAUGUUUUUGUUGUUGCUGUUGUUGUUGCUUUUCAAUUCCCAUUUGUUCCCACUGUCAUCCCAUUUGGUUGUACUAAACGCAUUACUUUACACAUGUUUUUCUUUAGAGUGACUUAUGGUCUCAUACCAAUAUUUACCAAACAUAAAAUAAUGUUUUUAAGAUUAUCAAGAGAAGGAUCCACUGCUUGGAAGCCUCACCAAGGUCUAUCUGGAGAGCCCAAGGGGCUGUAGGCCGUAAUGGUGAUGCCCUUGGAGUGGCAGUACUGGAUCAGUUUCUCCUGUGUGAGGUACGGGUGACACUCAACCUGCAACAGCAAACAAUCCUCAUCAUGGGGAAAGCUCUCUGGCUUUUUGAGUUGUUCAUAGGGAGUUUUACACAGACACCCAAAGACCACCAAGCAAAGGCCAAACAUCUACCCACUGAGAUUCUUGCUAACACAACCAUGAGAUCAGCCUCACAGCUCCCGAAAGUGUCCUGAUCACUGACCCCUGAGAUGAGACUCAGGGUAUAGCAUUGAACGUUCCUCCCAACGUAUAAGAAGUAAUAGGGCAAGACCUUUAUUUACCCUUAUACUAAACAGAAUUUACCUGGUUAGUCACUGGUUUAUAUUUCAGUCCAGGUUUGUUCAAGAGCUUCUCAAUCUGGAAGUGGUUGAAAUUGGAGAUGCCAAGGGCUUUCACCAGCCCCUCAUCCACCAGCUCCUCCAUGGCCUGUCAUAGAAAGGAAGACCUUUUGGGCAGCCCCAGAGGGACUAUAGGGACCCUGGCUUGCCUCAGUCCUCCCUGGGACAGAAAUUGCUAAAGGAUCCACCACAACAGGGUUAGCCGAAGCAUUCACAGGAAAUUUCAGUCCAGGGCCUGGGUGCCCAUCAGUGAUUGGUUCCAGCCCUACUGCCCGUCCCCAGCCCAAGAAAAAGUAGGAGUAACAGGUAAAGAUUUAUAUUCUUGCCACUCUCACCUUACACGUAAAGAAACACACUCAAAAUAUACUUCUGUACACAGGGGAAAUAUGAAAGUUUUGUAAUGCAAAAAAUAAAAAACUAAAUAAAAAAUGAACAUUUGCAAGCUUAUGAGAUGAUUUUAUUUUUAAUGAAUCCAAAUGACAGCGGUUAGCUACUGCUGUGUGCAUUGUACACCCAAACCUAGGCAAGCUGUGUUAGUCAGGAAGAGGCUGCAGCAUGUGGAGAAGCCUCACUUGUGGGUCCUGAGUCACUUUCUCCCACACCAACCGUGCUUGGGUUUGCAGGAAGGUCAUGCAUAUAGAUUAUGCCCUGGCAGGGGCACCUGGGCAAGGGGUUGUGUGGGGCUGAAACCUGACCCACCGUCUGCAUAUCCAGCCAUGCUUCCCGGUACAGAAACUACAGGGACCCCCAAGGAAGGGAAUCUUUGUAUAACUUUUAGCCUAUAUUGGGCAUUUUCCAAACUUGCCCAAAGAUAUCAUAUAUGUUAGCAGCAGCCUCCAAUGCAACAUGUAUUUAUUAGCCAUCUAUUACAUGUUCCAGAAGUUGUCAGGAUGUAAAAGUAUACAAUGUGCUUCCUUCUUCUGGGAUUCUUAUAGUCCAAUUAAAGUGCUAGGGUUCCCUUCUGUGGAACCAUCAACCAUGACCGUGAGGCUGCCUCAGAUAACAUGACCGUGGCAUAGACAGAGUCAGAAAGGAAAGAGAAGGAAGAGAUUCACACAGCCUGCAGCUGUCAGGGCAGACCUUCAGGUAGAGUUUAAACUGCACCUCAGAAAAAAAAAAAAAA